This 515-nucleotide ribosomal RNA is filed under the name uncultured bacterium. RNAcentral's name for it is "partial 16S ribosomal RNA". It matches the Rfam family "Bacterial small subunit ribosomal RNA", at positions 28 to 523 of the family's 1533-position model. The record is from RNAcentral.
GACGAACGCUGGCGGCGUGCCUAAUACAUGCAAGUCGAGCGGAUCUUCAAAGGAGCUUGCUCCUGCGAAGGUUAGCGGCGGACGGGUGAGUAACACGUAGGCAACCUGCCUGCAAGACCGGGAUAACAUUCGGAAACGAAUGCUAAGACCGGAUACGCAAGCUUGAGGCAUCUCGAGCUUGGGAAACACGGAGCAAUCUGUGGCUUGCGGAUGGGCCUGCGGCGCAUUAGCUAGUUGGUGGGGUAACGGCUCACCAAGGCGACGAUGCGUAGCCGACCUGAGAGGGUGAACGGCCACACUGGGACUGAGACACGGCCCAGACCCCUACGGGAGGCAGCAGUAGGGAAUCUUCCACAAUGGGCGCAAGCCUGAUGGAGCAACGCCGCGUGAGUGAGGAAGGCCUUCGGGUCGUAAAGCUCUGUUGCCAGGGAAGAAUAAGGGCUAGUUAACUGCUAGUCCGAUGACGGUACCUGAGAAGAAAGCCCCGGCUAACUACGUGCCAGCCGCCGCAGUAA